Oncorhynchus nerka (sockeye salmon) is the source of this 2085-nucleotide long non-coding RNA. RefSeq lists it as uncharacterized. The record is from RefSeq and is a predicted model, not a curated record. The transcript is spliced from 3 exons. NCBI's taxonomy places the organism in Eukaryota, Metazoa, Chordata, Actinopteri, Salmoniformes, Salmonidae.
UCCACUUUCAUUUUGAGUGUGACUCCAAAUCCAGACCUCCAUGGGUUGAUAAAUUUGAUUUCCAUUGAUAGUUUUUGUGUGAUUUUGUUGUCAGCACAUUCAACUAUGUAAAGAAAAAAGUAUUUAAUAAUAAUAUUUCAUUCAUUCAGAUCUAGGAUGUGUUAUUUUAGUUUUCCCUUUAUUUUUUUGAGCAGUGUAUAUUUAGACAGCUUAUAGAGAGCCUCUGUCUUUACCUCUCUGCUCCGGAUGGCUGGCCCACUGCGCAGUGUUGCCUCUGACAACAACAGUGAUUGGUCUGUGAGAAUAGACAGGUAUAAUGUGUCUUAAUCCAAUUCUAGCUACAGGGGUGCCUGCUCCUACUGUCACAAUGGAGCUCAUUGACUUCCUCAGGGACACUCCUCGUUUUGUGGUCUCAACUGGCCCUUCUCUGGAUAGUUUGAAGGAUUUAUUUCUGAAAUGAGGGGAUUGAUGCUCUGUGUUUUUGCCCUGGCGAUGUUAACAGCUUCUGCAGAUGAGGAUGAUCAGGAGGGGCCUCUGCAGUGUUUCCGCUGUGACCUGGGCUUCUGGGAUGCCUGCUACACCACCAAAACCAACUGCAAUAUCGGGGAGAAGUGCUACACUGGCUGAGGGAAGGCAGGUGAUGUGCUGGAUGUUAAGUUGCUGGGCUGUGUCAAGGCGAAGGAGUGUGAGCUGGUGACCAAUGUGGAGCUCUUCUCCAACACAACCAUCUACAUGAUGACCAGGCACUGCUGUGACACACACUUCUGCAACACCGGACACACACUACCCCUCAACACACUUCUCUCCCUGUCACUGACUACAAUAACCAUCAUCCACCUCUCCUCUCCCUGACAGUGACUGCAAUAACCAUGAUCCUCACCUUCAACAUACUACAAUAACCACCAUGCAUCAUAAAGUCCCCAGCAGCACACAUUUAUUCAAUUUUCUGUUAAUAUGUUUAUUUGUCAAGGAAUAUGGACAGUAAUUAACAUAUGUGGAUGUGCCAGAUUGAGGCAAAAGUCUCAUGUUCAAACCUUAGAAGCUGUCUCUGGGCUCAGUCAAAAUUGGUUAGAUGGUUUUAUGGAAUUCAAUUUUUAAUAAAUGUAAUUUUCUCAUUCUGUUGUUGGCAUAAACUACAAAAGGAGACUGGAUUUUAUUUUAUCAUAUUUAUUGAACAUUCUGAAUUGUAACUGAAUAACGUAAUACAAAUUUACAUUGUCCUCAAUCUUGGUUGGCAUAUUUUAAACACGUCAAAAUUACUUUUAUGUUCUCCUCCAAACUGAAAUAUUUCCAUAGAGAAUACUACAGUAUCUCCCAUUGACUUUAGUGUUAUGGUAAAUCCUAAAGUAGUAUGCAUCAAUCUCUCAGACCCAUAUUCACAGAUCUAGGAUCAUCUUAACCUCUCUAAAACCAUCAGAAUCUUGGGGCAACUUCCUCCUACAGUCAGUGAAGCUGAGGUCAUACUGGUAUACAGUAGUGUUGCUGUUAGACAGACAACAGUAGUGUUGCUGUUAGACAGACAACAGUAGUGUUGCUGUUAGACAGACAACAGUAGUGUUGCUGUUAGACAAAUCAAAUCAAAUUUUAUUUGUCACAUACACAUGGUUAGCAGAUGUUAAUGCGAGUGUAGCGAAAUGCUUGUGCUUCUAGUUCCGACAAUGCAGUGAUAACCAACAAGUAAUCUAACUAACAAUUUCAAAACUACUGUCUUAUACACAGUGUAAGGGGAUAAGGAAUAUGUACAUAAGGAUAUAUGAAUGAGUGAUGGUACAGAGCAGCAUACAGUAGAUGGUAUCGAGUACAGUAUAUACAUAUGAGAUGAGUAUGUAGACAAGUAAACAAAGUGGCAUAGUUAAAGUGGCUAGUGACAUAAGAAUGCAGUCGAUGAUCUAGAGUACAGUAUAUACAUAUGCAUAUGAGAUGAAUAAUGUAGGGUAAGUAACAUUAUAUAAGGUAGCAUUGUUUAAAGUGGCUAGUGAUAUAUUUACAUCAUUUCCCAUCAAUUCCCAUUAUUAAAGUGGCUGGAGUUGGGUCAGUGUCAAUGACAGUGUGUUGGCAGCAGCCACUCAAUGUUAGUGGUGGCUG